This 301-nucleotide ribosomal RNA is filed under the name uncultured bacterium. RNAcentral describes it as "partial 16S ribosomal RNA". It matches the Rfam family "Bacterial small subunit ribosomal RNA", at positions 509 to 807 of the family's 1533-position model. The record is from RNAcentral.
CAGUCGCCACGGUAAUACGUAGGUGGCAAGCGUUGUCCGGAAUUAUUGGGCGUAAAGGGCUCGCAGGCGGUUUCUUAAGUCUGAUGUGAAAGCCCCCGGCUCAACCGGGGAAGGUCAUUGGAAACUGGGAAACUUGAGUGCAGAAGAGGAGAGUGGAAUUCCACGUGUAGCGGUGAAAUGCGUAGAGAUGUGGAGGAACACCAGUGGCGAAGGCGACUCUCUGGUCUGUAACUGACGCUGAGGAGCGAAAGCGUGGGGAGCGAACAGGAUUAGAUACCCCGGUAGUCCCUGUCUCUUAUAC